Molecule: transfer RNA, 75 nt
Filed under: Cacatua alba (White cockatoo)
Lineage: Eukaryota; Metazoa; Chordata; Aves; Psittaciformes; Cacatuidae
Description: tRNA-Leu
Rfam family: tRNA
About the family: Transfer RNA (tRNA) molecules are approximately 80 nucleotides in length.
Source: RNAcentral
GCUAGUGUAGCAGAGCCUGGCUAAAUGCAAAAGACUUAAACCCUUUUCCCAGAGGUUCAAAUCCUCUCCCUAGCA